This 2900-nucleotide ribosomal RNA is filed under the name Klebsiella pneumoniae. RNAcentral's name for it is "bacterial LSU rRNA". It matches the Rfam family "Bacterial large subunit ribosomal RNA". Lineage: Bacteria; Pseudomonadati; Pseudomonadota; Gammaproteobacteria; Enterobacterales; Enterobacteriaceae. The record is from RNAcentral.
UUAAGCGACUAAGCGUACACGGUGGAUGCCCUGGCAGUCAGAGGCGAUGAAGGACGUGCUAAUCUGCGAAAAGCGUCGGUAAGGUGAUAUGAACCGUUAUAGCCGGCGAUGUCCGAAUGGGGAAACCCAGUGCAAUUCGUUGCACUAUCGUUAACUGAAUACAUAGGUUAACGAGGCGAACCGGGGGAACUGAAACAUCUAAGUACCCCGAGGAAAAGAAAUCAACCGAGAUUCCCCCAGUAGCGGCGAGCGAACGGGGAGCAGCCCAGAGUCUGAAUCAGCUUGUGUGUUAGUGGAACGGUCUGGAAAGUCCGACGGUACAGGGUGAUAGUCCCGUACACCAAAAUGCACAGGCUGUGAACUCGAAGAGUAGGGCGGGACACGUGGUAUCCUGUCUGAAUAUGGGGGGACCAUCCUCCAAGGCUAAAUACUCCUGACUGACCGAUAGUGAACCAGUACCGUGAGGGAAAGGCGAAAAGAACCCCGGCGAGGGGAGUGAAAAAGAACCUGAAACCGUGUACGUACAAGCAGUGGGAGCACCUUCGGGUGUGACUGCGUACCUUUUGUAUAAUGGGUCAGCGACUUAUAUUCUGUAGCAAGGUUAACCGUAUAGGGGAGCCGCAGGGAAACCGAGUCUUAACUGGGCGUUAAGUUGCAGGGUAUAGACCCGAAACCCGGUGAUCUAGCCAUGGGCAGGUUGAAGGUUGGGUAACACUAACUGGAGGACCGAACCGACUAAUGUUGAAAAAUUAGCGGAUGACUUGUGGCUGGGGGUGAAAGGCCAAUCAAACCGGGAGAUAGCUGGUUCUCCCCGAAAGCUAUUUAGGUAGCGCCUCGUGAACUCAUCUUCGGGGGUAGAGCACUGUUUCGGCUAGGGGGUCAUCCCGACUUACCAACCCGAUGCAAACUACGAAUACCGAAGAAUGUUAUCACGGGAGACACACGGCGGGUGCUAACGUCCGUCGUGAAGAGGGAAACAACCCAGACCGCCAGCUAAGGUCCCAAAGUCAUGGUUAAGUGGGAAACGAUGUGGGAAGGCACAGACAGCCAGGAUGUUGGCUUAGAAGCAGCCAUCAUUUAAAGAAAGCGUAAUAGCUCACUGGUCGAGUCGGCCUGCGCGGAAGAUGUAACGGGGCUAAACCAUGCACCGAAGCUGCGGCAGCGACACUAUGUGUUGUUGGGUAGGGGAGCGUUCUGUAAGCCUGCGAAGGUGUGCUGUGAGGCAUGCUGGAGGUAUCAGAAGUGCGAAUGCUGACAUAAGUAACGAUAAAGCGGGUGAAAAGCCCGCUCGCCGGAAGACCAAGGGUUCCUGUCCAACGUUAAUCGGGGCAGGGUGAGUCGACCCCUAAGGCGAGGCCGAAAGGCGUAGUCGAUGGGAAACAGGUUAAUAUUCCUGUACUUGGUGUUACUGCGAAGGGGGGACGGAGAAGGCUAUGUUAGCCGGGCGACGGUUGUCCCGGUUUAAGCAUGUAGGCUGGUUGUCCAGGCAAAUCCGGAUAAUCAAGGCUGAGGUGUGAUGACGAGGCACUACGGUGCUGAAGUAACAAAUGCCCUGCUUCCAGGAAAAGCCUCUAAGCAUCAGGUAACAUCAAAUCGUACCCCAAACCGACACAGGUGGUCAGGUAGAGAAUACCAAGGCGCUUGAGAGAACUCGGGUGAAGGAACUAGGCAAAAUGGUGCCGUAACUUCGGGAGAAGGCACGCUGGUGUGUAGGUGAAGUCCCUGCGGAUGGAGCUGAGACCAGUCGAAGAUACCAGCUGGCUGCAACUGUUUAUUAAAAACACAGCACUGUGCAAACACGAAAGUGGACGUAUACGGUGUGACGCCUGCCCGGUGCCGGAAGGUUAAUUGAUGGGGUUAUCCGUAAGGAGAAGCUCUUGAUCGAAGCCCCGGUAAACGGCGGCCGUAACUAUAACGGUCCUAAGGUAGCGAAAUUCCUUGUCGGGUAAGUUCCGACCUGCACGAAUGGCGUAAUGAUGGCCAGGCUGUCUCCACCCGAGACUCAGUGAAAUUGAACUCGCUGUGAAGAUGCAGUGUACCCGCGGCAAGACGGAAAGACCCCGUGAACCUUUACUAUAGCUUGACACUGAACAUUGAGCCUUGAUGUGUAGGAUAGGUGGGAGGCUUUGAAGCGUGGACGCCAGUCUGCGUGGAGCCAACCUUGAAAUACCACCCUUUAAUGUUUGAUGUUCUAACGUUGGCCCCUGACCGGGGUUGCGGACAGUGUCUGGUGGGUAGUUUGACUGGGGCGGUCUCCUCCCAAAGCGUAACGGAGGAGCACGAAGGUUAGCUAAUCCUGGUCGGACAUCAGGAGGUUAGUGCAAUGGCAUAAGCUAGCUUGACUGCGAGCGUGACGGCGCGAGCAGGUGCGAAAGCAGGUCAUAGUGAUCCGGUGGUUCUGAAUGGAAGGGCCAUCGCUCAACGGAUAAAAGGUACUCCGGGGAUAACAGGCUGAUACCGCCCAAGAGUUCAUAUCGACGGCGGUGUUUGGCACCUCGAUGUCGGCUCAUCACAUCCUGGGGCUGAAGUAGGUCCCAAGGGUAUGGCUGUUCGCCAUUUAAAGUGGUACGCGAGCUGGGUUUAGAACGUCGUGAGACAGUUCGGUCCCUAUCUGCCGUGGGCGCUGGAGAAUUGAGGGGGGCUGCUCCUAGUACGAGAGGACCGGAGUGGACGCAUCACUGGUGUUCGGGUUGUCAUGCCAAUGGCACUGCCCGGUAGCUAAAUGCGGAAGAGAUAAGUGCUGAAAGCAUCUAAGCACGAAACUUGCCCCGAGAUGAGUUCUCCCUGAGACUUUAAGUCUCCUGAAGGAACGUUGAAGACGACGACGUUGAUAGGCCGGGUGUGUAAGCGCAGCGAUGCGUUGAGCUAACCGGUACUAAUGAACCGUGAGGCUUAACCUU